This 175-nucleotide non-coding RNA is filed under the name uncultured Cytobacillus sp. RNAcentral's name for it is "Lysine riboswitch". It matches the Rfam family "Lysine riboswitch aptamer". Rfam says of the family: Riboswitches are metabolite binding domains within certain messenger RNAs that serve as precision sensors for their corresponding targets. Allosteric rearrangement of mRNA structure is mediated by ligand binding, and this results in modulation of gene expression. This family includes riboswitches that sense lysine in a number of genes involved in lysine metabolism, including lysC. Lineage: Bacteria; Bacillati; Bacillota; Bacilli; Caryophanales; Bacillaceae. The record is from RNAcentral.
GGGGUAGAGGCGCAAAUCAUCAUUAGUAAUCAAUGUGAGGAUGACAACAGUGAACAUUGAUAAAAGGGAGAUUUGCCGAAGCAAAUAGGUACGUCAAUAUUUAUUUGUUGGGGUUGCUCUAAAUAAGAGUAACACUGUCAUUAUGGAGGUAUAUUAACCAUAAUGGGGAGCUACA